This is a non-coding RNA of Heligmosomoides polygyrus, 71 nucleotides long. The record is from Rfam. NCBI's taxonomy places the organism in Eukaryota, Metazoa, Nematoda, Chromadorea, Rhabditida, Heligmosomidae.
GCGCCGGUGGUGUAAGGCGAACAUCGCUGCCCGGAAAGCAGAAGAUGCGGGUUGGAGUCCCGCCUGGCGCA